RNAcentral lists this transfer RNA (73 nucleotides) under Actinomycetota bacterium. RNAcentral's name for it is "Actinobacteria bacterium tRNA-Thr". It matches the Rfam family "tRNA". Rfam says of the family: Transfer RNA (tRNA) molecules are approximately 80 nucleotides in length. Their secondary structure includes four short double-helical elements and three loops (D, anti-codon, and T loops). The record is from RNAcentral. Lineage: Bacteria; Bacillati; Actinomycetota.
GCCGGGUUAGCUCAGUUGGUAGAGCAACGGAUUUGUAAUCCGUAGGUCGUCGGUUCGAAUCCGACACCCGGCU